RNAcentral lists this ribosomal RNA (407 nucleotides) under Pristimantis latro. RNAcentral's name for it is "partial large subunit ribosomal RNA". It matches the Rfam family "Bacterial large subunit ribosomal RNA", at positions 1836 to 2457 of the family's 2925-position model. RNAcentral also lists the same sequence under 1 other name. The record is from RNAcentral. Lineage: Eukaryota; Metazoa; Chordata; Amphibia; Anura; Strabomantidae.
CUUGACCCUAUAAGAGGUCCAGCCUGCCCAGUGACCUAGUUCAACGGCCGCGGUACCCUAACCGUGCGAAGGUAGCGUAAUCACUUGUCUUCUAAAUAGAGACUAGUAUGAAAGACAUCACGAGAACUUGACUGUCUCCCCUUUCCAAUCAGUGAACCUAAUCUCCCCGUGAAGAAGCGGGAAUUUAUAAAUAAGACGAGAAGACCCUAUGGAGCUUUAAACACUAAUCACCUGCCCCAUCAUUUAAUACUCAGGCUCCUAAACCAACACACUAUGAUUAUGUGUUUUCGGUUGGGGUGACCGCGGAAAACAACACAACCUCCGCAAUGAGACCUUUUAAACUAUAAGCCACAACUUUAAGUAUCAACAAACUGACAUCCAUUGACCCAAUAUAUUGAUUAAUGAAC